RNAcentral lists this ribosomal RNA (397 nucleotides) under uncultured bacterium. RNAcentral describes it as "partial 16S ribosomal RNA". It matches the Rfam family "Bacterial small subunit ribosomal RNA", at positions 523 to 918 of the family's 1533-position model. The record is from RNAcentral.
AUACGUAGGGGGCGAGCGUUGUCCGGAAUGAUUGGGCGUAAAGGGCGCGUAGGCGGCCCGGUAAGCCUGGAGUGAAAGUCCUGUUUUUAAGAUGGGAAUUGCUUUGGAUACUGUCGGGCUUGAGUGCAGGAGAGGUAAGUGGAAUUCCCAGUGUAGCGGUGAUAUGCGUAGAGAUUGGGAGGAACACCAGUGGCGAAGGCGACUUACUGGACUGUAACUGACGCUGAGGCGCGAAAGUGUGGGGAGCAAACAGGAUUAGAUACCCUGGUAGUCCACACUGUAAACGAUGAAUGCUAGGUGUAGGGGGUAUCGACCCCUUCUGUGCCGCAGUCAACACAAUAAGCAUUCCGCCUGGGGAGUACGGCCGCAAGGUUGAAACUCAAAUGAAUUGACGGGG